RNAcentral lists this unclassified non-coding RNA (367 nucleotides) under uncultured fungus. Its description in RNAcentral is "sequence contains ITS1". The stretch from base 1 to 105 matches the Rfam family "5.8S ribosomal RNA", at positions 50 to 154 of the family's 154-position model. Lineage: Eukaryota; Fungi. The record is from RNAcentral.
GAAAUGCGAUACGUAGUGUGAAUUGCAGAAUUCCGUGAACCAUCGAAUCUUUGAACGCACAUUGCGCUCGAGGCUUCGGCCGAGAGCAUGUCUGCCUCAGCGUCGGCCCAUCCCCUCACAACCCCUUCCCAGUCGUUCCAUUGGAGCCUGGCGGGGGCUGUGGAUCUGGCCGAGUCGGCUGAAGCUCAGAGGCCUGAGCAAGAGCCCAUUCAACCGGGCAUCAACAAGGUGGGUGGCCCUCUGGGCUGCAUUGCCGUUGAUGACCGGGGGACUUGCUGGGGGCCUGCAGGAACACCGGCCCUUUACACUGCCGGUGCCGACCAAACUUUUCGACCUGAGAUCAGGCAAGAACACCCGCUGAACUUAA